UCGGUAAAGAGCGGCGGACGGGUGAGUAACGCGUGGGUAACCUACCCUGUACACACGGAUAACAUACCGAAAGGUAUGCUAAUACGGGAUAAUAUAUUUGAGAGGCAUCUCUUGAAUAUCAAAGGUGAGCCAGUACAGGAUGGACCCGCGUCUGAUUAGCUAGUUGGUAAGGUAACGGCUUACCAAGGCGACGAUCAGUAGCCGACCUGAGAGGGUGAUCGGCCACAUUGGAACUGAGACA
RNAcentral lists this ribosomal RNA (241 nucleotides) under Clostridioides difficile. RNAcentral describes it as "partial 16S ribosomal RNA". It matches the Rfam family "Bacterial small subunit ribosomal RNA", at positions 85 to 326 of the family's 1533-position model. Lineage: Bacteria; Bacillati; Bacillota; Clostridia; Peptostreptococcales; Peptostreptococcaceae. The record is from RNAcentral.